GGCAACGUGGCUGAGUGGUCUAUAGCGAUAGACUAGAAAUCUAUUUCCUUCGGGAGCACAGGUUCGAAUCCUGUCGUUGUCG
Non-coding RNA from Xylariaceae sp. FL0255, 82 nucleotides. NCBI's taxonomy places the organism in Eukaryota, Fungi, Ascomycota, Sordariomycetes, Xylariales, Xylariaceae. The record is from the annotation of a GenBank genome assembly.